Molecule: ribosomal RNA, 116 nt
Filed under: uncultured bacterium
Lineage: Bacteria
Description: partial 16S ribosomal RNA
Rfam family: Bacterial small subunit ribosomal RNA
Source: RNAcentral
CGUUCCCGGGCCUUGUACACACCGCCCGUCACGUCAUGAAAGUCGGUAACACCCGAAGCCGGUGGCCCAACCCGUGAGGGAGGGAGCCGUCGAGGGUGGGACUGGCGAUUAGGACG